GUGCCAAGCUUUCAAGUGUUGAGCUUAAGUCACUCAACAUUCGACUGCUUGACGGGA
This 57-nucleotide microRNA precursor is filed under the name Heligmosomoides polygyrus. Its description in RNAcentral is "microRNA hpo-mir-10052 precursor". Lineage: Eukaryota; Metazoa; Nematoda; Chromadorea; Rhabditida; Heligmosomidae. The record is from miRBase by way of RNAcentral.